AGCGAACGCUGGCGGCAGGCUUAACACAUGCAAGUCGAGCGGGCACCUUUCGGGGUGUCCGCGGCGGACGGGUGAGUAACGCGUGGGAACGUGCCCUCUGGUUCGGAAUAACUCAGGGAAACUUGAGCUAAUACCGGAUACGCCCUUUUGGGGAAAGGCUUGCUGCCGGAGGAUCGGCCCGCGUCUGAUUAGCUAGUUGGUGAGGUAACGGCUCACCAAGGCGACGAUCAGUAGCUGGUCUGAGAGGAUGAUCAGCCACACUGGGACUGAGACACGGCCCAGACUCCUACGGGAAGCAGCAGUGGGGAAUAUUGGACAAGGGGCGCAAGCCUGAUCCAGCCAUGCCGCGUGAGUGAUGAAGGCCUUAGGGUUGUAAAGCUCUUUUAUCCGGGACGAUAAUGACGGUACCGGAGGAAUAAGCCCCGGCUAACUUCGUG
RNAcentral lists this ribosomal RNA (437 nucleotides) under uncultured bacterium. RNAcentral's name for it is "partial 16S ribosomal RNA". It matches the Rfam family "Bacterial small subunit ribosomal RNA", at positions 29 to 507 of the family's 1533-position model. The record is from RNAcentral.